Molecule: ribosomal RNA, 410 nt
Filed under: uncultured bacterium
Lineage: Bacteria
Description: bacterial SSU rRNA
Rfam family: Bacterial small subunit ribosomal RNA
Source: RNAcentral
AAUGGGGGAAACCCUGAUCCAGCCAUUCCGCGUGAGUGAAGAAGGCCUUCGGGUUGUAAAGCUCUUUCGGCCGGGAAGAAAUCGCAUGGGUGAAUACCCUGUGUGGAUGACGGUACCGGAACAAGAAGCACCGGCUAACUACGUGCCAGCAGCCGCGGUAAUACGUAGGGUGCGAGCGUUAAUCGGAAUUACUGGGCGUAAAGCGUGCGCAGGCGGUUUGGUAAGACAGGCGUGAAAUCCCCGGGCUUAACCUGGGAACUGCGCUUGUGACUGCCAGGCUAGAGUACGGCAGAGGGGGGUGGAAUUCCCAGUGUAGAGGUGAAAUUCGUAGAUAUUGGGAGGAACACCAGUGGCGAAGGCGGCCACCUGGCCCGGUACUGACGCUCAACUGCGAAAGCGUGGGGAGCAAA